RNAcentral lists this ribosomal RNA (253 nucleotides) under uncultured bacterium. RNAcentral's name for it is "partial 16S ribosomal RNA". It matches the Rfam family "Bacterial small subunit ribosomal RNA", at positions 524 to 776 of the family's 1533-position model. The record is from RNAcentral.
GACAGAGGGUGCAAACGUUGCUCGGAAUCACUGGGCAUAAAGCGCACGUAGGCGGUCCGCUAAGUCUGAUGUGAAAUCCCUCGGCUCAACCGGGGAACUGCAUUGGAUACUGGCGGGCUUGAGAGUUGUAGGGGUGGACGGAACUCCAGGAGGAGCGGUGAAAUGCGUAGAUAUCUGGAGGAACACCGGAGGCGAAAGCGGUCCACUGGGCAACUUCUGACGCUGAGGUGCGAAAGCUAGGGUAGCAAACGGG